GACGAACGCUGGCGGCGUGCUUAACACAUGCAAGUCGAACGGAAAGGCCCUGCUUUUGUGGGGUGCUCGAGUGGCGAACGGGUGAGUAACACGUGGGUAACCUGCCCUUGACUUUGGGAUAACUUCAGGAAACUGGGUCUAAUACCGGAUAGUAGUUCCUGCUGCAUGGUGGGGGUUGGAAAGUUUCGGCGGUUGGGGAUGGACUCGCGGCUUAUCAGCUUGUUGGUGGGGUAGUGGCUUACCAAGGCUUUGACGGGUAGCCGGCCUGAGAGGGUGACCGGCCACAUUGGGACUGGGGUAAGGCCCAGACCCCUACGGGAGGCAGGAGUGGGGAAUAUUGCACAAUGGGCGGAAGCGUGAUGCAGCAACGCCGCGUGCGGGAUAACGGCCUUCGGGUUGUAAACCGCUUUCGCCUGUGACGAGGCGUGAGUGACGGUAAUGGGUAAAGAAGCACCGGCUAACUACGUG
RNAcentral lists this ribosomal RNA (468 nucleotides) under uncultured bacterium. RNAcentral's name for it is "partial 16S ribosomal RNA". It matches the Rfam family "Bacterial small subunit ribosomal RNA", at positions 28 to 507 of the family's 1533-position model. The record is from RNAcentral.